Molecule: ribosomal RNA, 439 nt
Filed under: uncultured bacterium
Lineage: Bacteria
Description: partial 16S ribosomal RNA
Rfam family: Bacterial small subunit ribosomal RNA
Source: RNAcentral
CUACGGGUGGCUGCAGUGAGGAAUAUUGCACAAUGGGGGGAACCCUGAUGCAGCAACGCCGCGUGGAGGAUGACGCAUUUCGGUGUGUAAACUCCUUUUAUAUGUCAAGAAAAUGACGGUAGCAUAUGAAUAAGCACCGGCUAACUCCGUGCCAGCAGCCGCGGUAAUACGGAGGGUGCAAGCGUUACUCGGAAUCACUGGGCGUAAAGGACGCGUAGGCGGGUUGGAAAGUCAGGUGUGAAAUCCUACAGCUUAGCUGUAGAACUGCACUUGAAACUUCUAAUCUAGAGUAUGGGAGGGGGAGAUGGAAUUAGUGGUGUAGGGGUAAAGUCCGUAGAUAUCACUAGGAAUACCUAAAGCGAAGGCGAUCUCCUGGAACAUUACUGACGCUAAGGCGUGAAAGCGUGGGGAGCAAACAGGAUUAGAUACCCUCGUAGUC